RNAcentral lists this ribosomal RNA (434 nucleotides) under Aporia crataegi. RNAcentral's name for it is "partial 12S ribosomal RNA". Lineage: Eukaryota; Metazoa; Arthropoda; Insecta; Lepidoptera; Pieridae. The record is from RNAcentral.
AAAAAAUUAAUUAAAAAUAUUAAAAUAGUAAAUAAUUAUUUAUUAAAACUUAAAUAAUUUGGCGGUAUUUUAGUUCAUUUAGAGGAAUCUGUCUAUUAAUUGAUAAUCCACGAAUAAUUAUAUUUAAUUUAAAAUUUUAUAUAUCGUUGUUAAAAAAAUAUUUUAUAAAAAGAAUAAUAUUUUAAAAUUUAAAAUUAAAACUAAUUCAGAUCAAGAUGUAGAUAAUAAUUAAAUUUAAGAUGGAUUACAAUAUAAUUAUAUAAAAAUGGAAAAUAAUUUUGAAAUAAUUAUUAGAAAGUGGAUUUAAAUGUAAUUUUAAAUAAUUUUUUAAAAUGAUUGAAAAUUAAAAUAUGUACAUAUUGCCCGUCACUUUCAUUUAAAAAUUGAAAUAAGUCGUAACAAAGUAGGGGUACUGGAAAGUGUUCCUAGAAAGA